AAGGCCUUGGCCGCGGGAGAAACGGGGGCCGGGCACGCAGGGCCUCGCGGUGGUUGGAGGGCAAGUGCGUGGGCCGGGGACGCGCCCAGGGCGGGAGGGCCGCGUGGGCCGAGGGCGGGGGGGAAGCCACGCCGACGCACCUGCGUGAGAGCGCGCCCGGCCCUCCCCUCGUACGUACGAAUCCCCUUUUACGCAUGCUCAGACAAAGGGCACAAAUUCUAGGAGACUUGAGGGAGGUCGCACAGUUGGUAAGAGGAGGGUUUGCUGGGAUUUGAACGCGUAUUUGAGGUCAGGCUCAAGCCCACCGGUCUGUACUUCUGUCCUUGAAAGCAGGCGCACACAUACCCUCUUCGUAGCCCUUACAGAGAACCAGAGAGCCGACAGCCCCAGUUGCCUACCUGUUAGAAGCCGCUCUCUUCACGGGGACGGGAGCGACAGGGACUGGCGGCGUCUUGUCCUGCUCCAGGAAGAGGUUCCGGUGAAGGCGCUGCCUGGGCCCCUGCGAGAUCCAAGCACUUCAGGGCCCUGGGACUUGGGCGCCUGAUCAGCGGGGUCCCUCCUCUUGCACCUUUGAGGAAAAGCUUCUGCCCUGAGCUCGCAGAAGCAGCCAAGGUGCCGAGAGCAUUUUUCCCCUAGCCACUCCACUAAGCCAGGCUAAGUGACCUGUGUCCAGCCCGUGACCCGGCACUGUAUGAGCACUGCUCACUGUCCUGGGCCUGGGGAAGAUGCGGCGCUUGGGGCCAGGGGUGGGGACCCCCAAAGGGGGCACCCGGAAAGGAUUACCUGGAAGAACGUGGAGGAGGUGGUGCCUCGUUUCUUCCUGAUGCUCGAGGGCCAGAGAAGGAGCAGACUGCCUGAUGGGUAUGAAGAUGCUGGCCGCUGGGUGUGCGGACGAGCUACAGUGCCAGUGCUCCGGAGAAGGGAGGUCCUCGACCUCCCUGGGAGGACAUACGCUUCUCCACAGCGCCCCCUGGAGUCUAAGCGGCUGGAGUUCACACGCCCAGUCCGGACCUUUCGGUCGAGGUACAAUCUGCCUCCGACAAGCAGCAGGGACCUCCAGUGGACAGCUCGCUGCACUUACCAGUAUACACGCCACGGAACUAAGCCCCGGAUCAGCGUAUAGAACGUUUCAACGCCCAGGAUAAGCCUGUUUCUUUUUUGUUUGCUGUCAGGGCAGAGGGAGGACUCUCUCCGGAAAUAGCCGUUUAGGAAGGUUCCAGCUUCCGGUCCCUCUUAGCCUUACUUUCUGUCUGCCCGGCAACCCCACAUCAGUAGCUUUGCGUUAUUGGGAUCGUGCGCUUUUUGGAACCGGAGGGGACCUCAGGACGCCCAGCUUCUUCAGUCACCGACCAAGAGGACCUGGUGAGGGAGGGCCUUGCCCAAGCCCGCACGGAAGGCAGCUGUGGAGCCUGGGACUUGCUGCUGUUCCCGCCAAUCCCUCUUCGGAGCCUCAGUCGGAUUCUCCGAGUCGCGGGCUGCGGGCUUUUCCGCUGGGGCCGCAUCUCCUAACGGGGAGCCCACGCCACCUGCUCCCUUCAGGGCUUUGGAGGACAGUCUCCACCGUCCUGCAUCACCAUCCCCGUCCCGAGCCCUUCCCUCCUCCUCCCAGAGGAAAAGGACAAACGGCCCCUGUCUCGGGCCGAGGACACCCGGAUCCGAUCCGGCGCAUCUGACUGGCCAACACCCAACUCAGACAAACAGCCCCCUGCAGCGGCUCGGAGGGGGACACGGCGCCUCUGCCACCGCCCAGCCCCCCCCCCCCCCCCCCCGGCCUGCCCUCCCGCCUCCCCAGAUCGCUUCUGAACCGUGGUUUGCAAGUCUCAGGUGUGUGGACCCACGAGAGGCUGGGUUUGGCAGGGAGGAAGGCCUGGAAACGGUUGAUGGAGGCGGAAAGAGCCCUUUGAGGAUGGAGCUGGGGAAGGGACGGCCCGGGAAGAAAUGUGCGGUGAGCCAGACUGCACUCCCUUUGCCCGAGGUCCUCUCACCCCCGGUCCUCAGUCUGCCAGACGCUCAGCAGACCGGGAGGGUUGGCUGCUGGGCUCGCUCUUCUGGGUGGAGGUCUUUGCCACCCGCUGCCGCAGACUCAGCAAGGUGACGGGAACGAGCCCACACAAGCCCUGACUUCUCUUCCUCGAGCACCCAGACCUGGCGUCAGGCAGCCGGCGACCAGCUUCUUGAUCCCUGCUGCGGACAAGCAGGUCCCGUUGACUGUUGCAUGAGGGAUGAGGACAGUUGGCAAGGCAGCCCUUUAGGCGGUUGCAGGGAGAGGCUGUGGGUGACUGGCAGGACCCCCUCUCCUUCCAGCGAGGUUCACACGCAGCUGCCUCCCUCCUCCACCCUGCGAGCCCCAGGCCACGCUUCUCUCUGGCCCAGGCGGAGCCUCCUGGGGGGCUGGAUCUUUGCAUCCCCGUGGGAGGAGGUAGGGGGGAGGCUGGGGACGCGUCAGUCUUCAGGAAAAAGCACUUUUUCCACUCAGGACCGCUGCCUUCCACUCUCUAUACUUCCGUCUGUCUGCAGAGCGUGAGGACGUCACCUCUGUGCCUCAGAGGCCCCACGGAGCCUUGGCAGGAAACUGUUCCUCAUCUCGGUGGCCCGGCCCCACCUGGACGUCCUGGACGGAGCUCAGUCUCUUGAGCCCUUUUAAAGCUUGGGGCUCCUGAGAAGUGGGCGUCCCGGUGCCCACUUCAGUAGGAUCGGGACCUCGAAACUGGGACUGACCGUGUCCAGGGGGAGGACUUGGCUGGCCGCGUGGGCAGCUCCUGCCUGGCUCGGCAAAGUCUCAAGGGAAUGGAAUGGGGGUGUCACCUGGUGCUCACCCAACCUGGCCAGUGUUCCGGUCCAUCAGCCCUGUCUAUUCUGAGGGCCUGCUGGGGGGCAGGGGGAGCUCCUCCUGUGCGGGAACCUUCUCACGGCACCAGAGGGCUGUCAGAGGAGAGCGGACAGAGCCUUAGAAGGCAUGGCUGUCCCUGGCCUUUCCCUGAGGGACGAAAGGCAGCAGUGCUCAACUCGGCAUUCUGCUCAAUUCGACCCCUCACCUGGAUUCCGCUCCUGGCCAUGGACGUACCCACCAGCUAGACAGACACCUGCCCUGUGUGUGCAGGACAGAGCUCCAGGGUCCAAACGUUACAGCCGCGGGGCACGGUUGAGCCUGCAUCCGAGCCGGCCUUGGGUACCGGUCAUGAUUCUGCUGCAGGCUGUGUGUCCCCGGGGCGCGGCCUCUUCACUGGGCCUGUGUCCUCACCUGAACAACGGGACUGCGAUCCAUUUAAACUAUUUUCUGGGGGCGACCGGGGGGCUCAGUCGGUUCAGCGUCUGACUCGAUUUCGGCUCAGGUCAUGAUCUCGUGGUUUGUGGGAUCGAGCCCCGUGUCAGGCUCCAGGCUCACAGCGUGGAACCUGCUUGGGAUUCUCUCUCUUCCUCUCUCUCUGCUCCUCCCCAGCUCUCUCUCUCUCUGUCUCUCUCUCUCUGUGUCUUUCUCUCAAAACGAAUAAACAAACGUUAAAAAUAAAAUGACAAUUUUCUGAAGGGCCUCAGGGUGCAGAGAAUGCUAACGGAUGGAAGUUCCCAGUCCGGGGGUGAUGUCUGGUGGAGGUGAGGGUAAGGUCAAAUGGCAGGAAGCACAGAGAACAGUAAAAGACAAACAUCUAGAAGCUAUUUUCAUGGUGGCAAAGAUUUGACAAUUAUAUUUUACUUUUUAUUUUUACAUUUAUUUUUUAUUUUUUGAGAGACAGAGAGAGACAGAGCACAAGUUGGGGAGGGGCAGAGAGAGAGGGAGACACAGAAUCCGAAGCGGCUCCAGGCUCUGAGCUGUCAGCAGAGCCCGACACGGAGCUUGAACUCACAAACCACGAGGUCAUGACCUGAGCCGAAGUCGGACGCUUAACCGGCUGAGCCACCCAGGUGCCCCCUACAAUUAUAUUUUACUUUUUAAAAGUCAUGUCACCUGUCAUUCUGUUUGUUAAUAGUCUGUUCGCCAUUGUGUUCAAGGGGGGGCAUUUAUUUAUUUAUUUAUUAUGUUUAUUUGUUUAUUUUUGAGAGGGGGAGGGGCAGAGAGAGAGAGAGGGAGAAUCCCAAGCAGGCUCCACGCUGUCAUCACAGAGCCCGACACAGGGCUCGAUCCCACGAACCGUGAGAUCGUGACCCGAGCCGAAAUCAAGAGUCAAACGCUCAGCCGACUGAGCCACCCAGGCGCCCCACGAAUGGACCAUUGAAACUGUAUUUCUGUUCAACUACCUCCUGCAUAUACCUUGAGACCCCGACUCCCAAUUCAUCAGCCGUUCUCAUGGUGCGGGGCCUGGGGCUCUCCCACACCCCUGCUUGUGCUCUCUGCCCAGCUGGUCGAGGCUAGGUCCCACCGCACUGUGUGCAGACCCCCACUCCCAGGCUCCCGUGGAUCAAACUGAAACCCAGAAGGACGUACCCAUCUACCAUUCUCAGACCAGAAUUUGAAUAAUUUACAGAGUGAGCCCCAUCCCAGAGCUCCCAUCCUUUCCCACGGGAGAUAUACUGUCACAGCAUCAUCCCCGUCUCGUGGACACAGAAACCAGUGUCCAGAGAAGGUUAGUAACUUGUUCGAGGUCAUCUAGCCACUAGGUAACCCAGGUAGCUUAUGUCCAAAGCUGGAGGAGUUCCUCCCUUCUGUGACAGAAUAAUUCCUCCAAACUUGGAAAAGGUAAACGGACAAGUGCUUGUUCCGGGUGGUUUUUUGGUAUCACUCUGGAGCAUCGUCAAAAGCUUGCUUGACAGCCACCGGACUCGCCUGGAGAAUGUACCUUUGUUGUUAGUCUACUUGAUGAAUGGUCCACAACCAUUUACAGUUCCGUCCUAUUGGUGGUUAACCCGCAGAAGUGGAUAAAGUAAUCAGCUGUUGUUGCCCAAUACAGAAGUUAACCAUAAAAGUGUUUCAGUUUGGUUGCCUUAGAAAGUCGACCAGUCUCAUAUGUAAAUUAGUAAUCUUACUUUGAGAUUCCUUUUUUGCCUUGUUCCCUCAUUAAUGAGUUAAAUCAAUGUUUGUUUUUUAAGUUAUUUUUAAGUUUAUUUGAGAGAGAGAGAGAGAGAGCAGGGAAGGGGCAGAGAGGGAGAGAGAGAAUCCCAAGCAGGCUCCAUGCUGCCAGCAUAGAGCCCAAUGCAGGGCUUGAACUCACAAACAGUGAGAUCAAGACCUGAGCCAAAACCAAGAGUUGGACCCUCAAGCGACUGAGCCACCCCGGUGCCCCUACAUGUUCUUAUUUUCUUUUUAUUUUUUUAUUUUUGAGAGAGACGGAGUGUGAGUGGGGGAGGGGCAGAGAGAGGGAGACAGAAUCAGAAGCGGAAGCAGCCUGGCCCCAGGCUCUGAGCCCUCAGCACAGAGCCCGACGCCGGGGGGGGGGGGGGGGGGGGGGGGGGGGGCUCGAACCCACCAACCGUGAGAUCAUGACCUGAGCAGAAGUCCGAUGCUUAACCUGCUGAGCCACCCAGGUGCCCU
This 5464-nucleotide long non-coding RNA is filed under the name Lynx canadensis (Canada lynx). RNAcentral describes it as "lncRNA (ENSLCNG00005020628.1)". Lineage: Eukaryota; Metazoa; Chordata; Mammalia; Carnivora; Felidae. The record is from RNAcentral.